Molecule: ribosomal RNA, 350 nt
Filed under: uncultured bacterium
Lineage: Bacteria
Description: bacterial SSU rRNA
Rfam family: Bacterial small subunit ribosomal RNA
Source: RNAcentral
AGAGUUUGAUCAUGGCUCAGGACGAACGCUGGCGGCGCGCCUAACACAUGCAAGUCGAACGAGCGAGAGAGAGCUUGCUUUCUCGAGCGAGUGGCGAACGGGUGAGUAACGCGUGAGGAACCUGCCUCAAAGAGGGGGACAACAGUUGGAAACGACUGCUAAUACCGCAUAAGCCCACGACCCGGCAUCGGGUAGAGGGAAAAGGAGCAAUCCGCUUUGAGAUGGCCUCGCGUCCGAUUAGCUAGUUGGUGAGGUAACGGCCCACCAAGGCAACGAUCGGUAGCCGGACUGAGAGGUUGAACGGCCACAUUGGGACUGAGACACGGCCCAGACUCCUACGGGAGGCAACA